UCGAGUACUCGAACAACACUAAUCUUGGUCCAAGUGGUCAGACAUGGUUUGCUGAUUGUUACACAGUACGCAUGUAAAUUUUGUGUGCUCCUUACAAAUCGGUCUGCUACAUACUGCUCAUUGAGUCUACGAAAUGUAUUCACAUUUUAAAUUUGAUAAUGACAAAUCGUACACUUAGGCCGACUACUGCUGCUUGAGCUUAGAUCAACAUUGACAGCAGUCUUUUGUUUCCAGACAAUUUCAUAAUUUGUGACCAUAAGUCAUCGAGAUUAAGAUAGUUGCUGCGUAUAACUCCAGCUAAAUACAAAAGUCCGAAUAGUGCAUUUAUUUCAAUGUCUGAUGUUAUACCAGAAAUUGGUGCAGUCAUAUGAUGUAAUAUAUUCUGGGGAUUCUCUUUUUUUUUUUUUUUGUAUGCAGCAAUUUGGGAAAUAAAGAAGUCAGUCCCCAAACUAAGUAUUCUUCUUUUGUAUAAAUAUUCCAUAAGAGGAAUGGCUGUAUAAUAAUUAUCAAAAAAUAUUUGAUUUUUAUUAACUGGAAUAUUUCUUCUUAAUCGUACUAUAACAUUGGACGAAGCCCCAAAAUCUGGUUAAUUUAAUUUUUGAAACAUUAAAUAAUUUUCUUGUCCUGAAUAUAUUUCGAAACUGUAUACAUAACCUUGGACAUCUGUCAAAACAAAAAGUUUGUAUCCCCAUUUAUGUGGUUUGUCAGGUAAGUAUUGUUUCAUAUAACUAUGGGCUUUAGUACCAUAUAAUUGUUCGUCAAGCACCAAAUUUUGUUUGCAAGGAAUGGAUGAUAAGCAACUAUUAAGAUAAUAAAUAAGAGGCUGCAACUUGUGAAGUCCAUUAUGGUUAGGGUCAUUUAAUAGUAGCAUAGAUUAAUUAUUAUUAAAAUGCAAGAUACUUCUAAUAAGCUCUAAGUGGUUUCUAUUCAUAGCAUUAAAAAUAAUCGGUACACUUAAAGCCUCUGAUCAAGUCGCGUACUUUUGGCACAUGCAUUAUUGAAGCCUAUACACAAAUCCCUAUAUACUUUUUUAAUUUAUCUAUAGUAUCUGUUAGUGGUUUA
This is a long non-coding RNA of Sipha flava (yellow sugarcane aphid), 1062 nucleotides long. RefSeq lists it as uncharacterized. NCBI's taxonomy places the organism in Eukaryota, Metazoa, Arthropoda, Insecta, Hemiptera, Aphididae. The transcript has 3 exons. The record is from RefSeq and is a predicted model, not a curated record.